This 218-nucleotide long non-coding RNA is filed under the name Elaeis guineensis (African oil palm). Its description in RNAcentral is "long non-coding RNA (EGUI_LNC021915)". Lineage: Eukaryota; Viridiplantae; Streptophyta; Magnoliopsida; Arecales; Arecaceae. The record is from RNAcentral.
AUCAUACUUGGAGAAGAAAAAAAUGCAUGGGCACGCAUGGAAGAGAAAAAAGGCAUGGGAAUAGUUCAAGAGUGAAAGGUUGCCAUCAUAAACCCUUAGAAAAGGAAGUGAACCAAUCAAACUUGUGAGUCAAUAUUUUAUGAGUAUUGCUUUUAGCAACGUCUACAUUAGUAACAAGAGAGGUAUCAACAUGGCCAGCUAGCUCCCACGCCAGCAGC